CCUACGGGUGGCAGCAGUGAGGAAUAUUGGUCAAUGGACGAGAGUCUGAACCAGCCAAGUAGCGUGAAGGAUGACUGCCCUAUGGGUUGUAAACUUCUUUUAUAUGGGAAUAAAAUGUUCCACGUGUGGGAUUUUGUAUGUACCAUAUGAAUAAGGAUCGGCUAACUCCGUGCCAUCAGCCGCGGUAAUACGGAGGAUGCGAGCGUUAUCCGGAUUUAUUGGGUUUAAAGGGUUCGUAGGCGGAUCGUUAAGUCAGUGGUAAAAUUGCGGGGAUCAACCCCUUCCCGCCAUUGAACCGGGCGCGCUUGAGUGGAAGAGAAGUAUGCGGAAUGCGUGGUGUAGCGGUGAAAUGCAUAGAUAUCACGAAGAACCCUGAUUGCGAAGGCAGCAUGCGGGCUUCCGACUGACGCUGAAGCACGAAAGCGUGGGGAUCGAACAGGAUUAGAUACCCCUGUAGUC
RNAcentral lists this ribosomal RNA (459 nucleotides) under uncultured bacterium. RNAcentral describes it as "partial 16S ribosomal RNA". It matches the Rfam family "Bacterial small subunit ribosomal RNA", at positions 338 to 795 of the family's 1533-position model. The record is from RNAcentral.